UGGUUCUCAAACAUGAUGUUGUCAACAUGCCUGUAUUUCUGUCUGUUGAGAGUGAUGGCACUUGGCUGACACUUUGUGCAAAUGCCUUCUGGCCAAGGAGGAUGCCCUUCACAGCCCGACUUGAUCUUGCAGCUGAUGUUUUCCAGGGCAACAAAUUUCCCCUUGUCUGCCCCUCCGGUCAGCUUCCUGAUGUAGGCAUGGAACGACAUAUGCUUCACAGGAGGUUCCAGAUGGUUUAAAUAAUCCUCAUCAAAAGGCUCUAAUGGUACACAAUGCACACAUUUACCCAAGGGGCCGUGGCGACACAGCUGCUGGUCUCGAUUUCGAUAAAUCUUCCCAUCCUGUUUGAUCAGAUACUGGUCAAUGUCAUCCUCCACCACCUGGGGGGCCCCCACUGGCCGCAAGCCCUGGGAGACAGAGGUGUCCAUGGUCUCUGAGGAAGAGCCUGCUGGGCUCGAGGGGUACAGAAACAGCAUAUCGCCAUGCUUGAUUUUCAGUAAGUUGAGGGAUUUGUUUUGUGAUGCUGUGAUCUCUCCUGUCCUGUUUCUAUUGGUGUAGACAGAAAACCCAUUAUUCCUGAAACCAAAUUCUUUUGCAACCUUCUUGAGGAACGUGGCCACUGUCUCUCGCUUGGUGGCCGUGAUGCGUUUCACCCCUUCUGGCGACUGCACACGGAUUAUGAUCGUCUCCGCCAUGGCGCUGCCCGCACAGCCCCCCUCACAGCUACGUCUCGAGACCUCCGCUCCCCUCAGCCCCUUUCGGCCCAGCGCCGCCCCACAGGGCCCGGCCCGGCCCGCCGCUGCCUGAGCCUCCUCCGCCGCCGCCGCCGCCUCCCGGAUCCC
This 842-nucleotide long non-coding RNA is filed under the name Gallus gallus (chicken). The record is from RNAcentral. Lineage: Eukaryota; Metazoa; Chordata; Aves; Galliformes; Phasianidae.